UGGGGAAUUUUGGACAAUGGGCGAAAGCCUGAUCCAGCAAUGCCGCGUGAGUGAAGAAGGCCUUCGGGUUGUAAAGCUCUUUUGUCAGGGAAGAAACGGCGGUUUCUAAUACAGACCGCUAAUGACGGUACCUGAAGAAUAAGCACCGGCUAACUACGUGCCAGCAGCCGCGGUAAUACGUAGGGUGCAAGCGUUAAUCGGAAUUACUGGGCGUAAAGCGUGCGCAGGCGGUUUUGUAAGUCUGUCGUGAAAUCCCCGGGCUCAACCUGGGAAUGGCGAUGGAGACUGCAAGGCUAGAGUUUGGCAGAGGGGGGUAGAAUUCCACGUGUAGCAGUGAAAUGCGUAGAUAUGUGGAGGAACACCGAUGGCGAAGGCAGCCCCCUGGGUCAAGACUGACGCUCAUGCACGAAAGCGUGGGGAGCAAACAGGAUUAGAUACCCUGGUAGUCCACGCCCUAAACGAUGUCUACUAGUUGUCGGGUCUUAAUUGACUUGGUAACGCAG
Molecule: ribosomal RNA, 503 nt
Filed under: uncultured Pseudomonadota bacterium
Lineage: Bacteria; Pseudomonadati; Pseudomonadota
Description: bacterial SSU rRNA
Rfam family: Bacterial small subunit ribosomal RNA
Source: RNAcentral